Molecule: long non-coding RNA, 634 nt
Organism: Tachysurus vachellii
Lineage: Eukaryota; Metazoa; Chordata; Actinopteri; Siluriformes; Bagridae
Exons: 4
Source: RefSeq, a predicted model, not a curated record
CCUAAAACAGGUCAACGUGACGUUGCGCUGUCUGGUCCUCGGCGCUUAAACCGUAGAUUUUAGAAAGCACUUUGAAACGAAUGAGUUCAGAAGGAUAACCACAGUUCCGAUAGAGCCAACCUUUCUGCAAACACUGGACCUCUACACUCCAAAGCUCCUGGAUUUGUUUAAAAUGAAGGGUGGGGAUGCAGGCAUAAAAAUAAAAAGUAUGCUAGAUUUUCUCUGCCAGCGAGUUGAAGAUAAGAGAGAUGCUGUGAUUCGGUGCCUGCCUUCCUACCUGGGAGAAUCAUCUGAGGAGCUCAUUGAAGCCUAACAGGAUGUCAGAAGAGACAUGAUUGAAGAUAGCUUCACCAAUCAUGUAAUGAAGACCGUUGUAAUGGGCAGCACUGCAGGAGAGGAAGAUACCAACAUAGCUGACGUCAUCAUCGUCAUUGAGGGAACUGCUGUACUGUCGGGAUGCAAGAAUCUUACAAAUGCCUGCCUUCUGCUCAUGGGCUUCAUUUACUCCCUGAACUUAAGCUAUCCUUCAAAGCUAAGAAACACAUUUGAAGUGUUUCAGAAAAUUAUUCUUGGAAUGGAUGCUUUGAAAUUUUCUCCAAAAGUUAGUUCUUUGCAGAGAAAGCUAUUGAUGUAA